RNAcentral lists this small RNA (25 nucleotides) under Hordeum vulgare subsp. vulgare (domesticated barley). Lineage: Eukaryota; Viridiplantae; Streptophyta; Magnoliopsida; Poales; Poaceae. The record is from RNAcentral.
GUUGAAUGCAAAAGACUAUUGUUAG